Molecule: long non-coding RNA, 1013 nt
Filed under: Bos indicus x Bos taurus (hybrid cattle)
Lineage: Eukaryota; Metazoa; Chordata; Mammalia; Artiodactyla; Bovidae
Description: lncRNA (ENSBIXG00000011430.1)
Source: RNAcentral
AUGGCGAGAUGUGACGUCAAGGGACACUGGUUAGAAUGCCAAGGCCGGCUGGGGUGGGGGGGUGGGGAGAGAGACAGGCACAGAGAGACACUGGGAUGGGGCCCAGGAGGCCUCGUUUCUCUCCGGCCCCUGUCGCGGGCACUGGGGACAACCAGGGUCCGGACCCUGGAGCCCCGGCCCGCUCACGACUGCGGCAGAGGGCGCGGGCAGGAACCGCGCGGCCCGGGGACAGCAGCAGCGUCGUCGUCCGGCCCUGAGAUAGCAAAGCUGCGGCCUAGAACUUCUCCCCGCAGCUCCUGCACCCUGGGCCGGGGGUUGGGGGGUGGGGGUGGGGGUGGCAGGAAGUUGUUUCUGCGGGGAAGGAAGAGAGAGAGGUUGGAGCUGGGCAGCGGCUCCGGGCACGGUGCCCCCGCCCAUUCCAUGCCUUCUCCGGGCACCAUGAGGGCCCCCCUGUGCCAGGCACCUUGCGGCCCCCAUCUCUGGGCACAGCGCGCUGCCCCCUCCGUUGCACCAGAUCCCCUGCACUUCGUCUUCCACCCCACUGGACCCCGCGCCCCUUCCGCAGCCCCGCAGGCAGGGUCGGGACAAGCCGCCGCGGGCUCCUCCUGGUGCGCACCGUGCCCUGGGGGAAGCCCGGUGCCACCCGCGAUCCCAAGCCCUGUCCUAGAGCUUCGUCUAGAGCUCCGCGGCGAGCCCUAGCCUCGCAGGGAGGAGGCCGGAGGUCUAGCCGCCACUCCGCCGCGCGCUCUGGGCUGCGGUCAGGCCAGGGACCGUCGGUCCGCCCCGGGUCCCCAAGCCGGGCCCGAGCGUGCGCGCGCGCGCUCCGCUGCCCGCAAUCAUGGCAGCCGGCGCCUCGGAGCGCAGCCGCCGAGCGCGCUCCGGCCGCUGCCUCGGUGCCAGGGCGGCGGGGGCUGGCCGGGGCCCGGGCUUACGGGCCGCAGGGCGCGAAGCCGAAGGCUGAUGAGUCUCCGCGACGCGGUGCCCCCAGCCCCGCGGGACCGCGCGGGCGGGGA